Molecule: unclassified non-coding RNA, 522 nt
Filed under: Hevea brasiliensis (rubber tree)
Lineage: Eukaryota; Viridiplantae; Streptophyta; Magnoliopsida; Malpighiales; Euphorbiaceae
Source: RNAcentral
AUAACAUGCAGCAGCACAUUUGAGACAAAUGAAGCGUUACAAAUCCCCAAGAGUAAUUAAACAUAUAUUAAAUAAUCAAGUCAAAUUGAAUCUCCUAGGCAAGGAGAUACAGAAAUAGAUAUAACUAACAAACACGCAUUCAUAAUUGAAUCCCAGCAAUGAAAUAUAAGAUAAUCAAACGCAUACGAUGGAGGACAACAGUAUAUAGUAGGGAAGAAAUAUGACUAAUACUCUAGUUAAAUACCAUGUUUUCCUGUGAAUUUCUAUAUCUAUAGGCCUAAAUAAGAAGCAAGCAGUAGCAAUUUGAAUAAGAAAGGAUCGAAAACAAUAUAUAUAUAACAUAAUUAGAUAACAAAAAUAAAUCUCAAUCUCAACCACAGAUAAACAAACAGAAAUAAAUACACAAAAUUGAGUGAUAAUGGAUCUCAAGAACACAUAUUGGCACAAACACAUAAAUAGUUGAAUAAUAUGCAUAUGUAAAAUCAAGAAUUAGAGUACCCAGUAGGCAAAUUAUCGACAUAG